Molecule: ribosomal RNA, 1444 nt
Filed under: Staphylococcus sp. CIFRI H-TSB-20-ZMA
Lineage: Bacteria; Bacillati; Bacillota; Bacilli; Caryophanales; Staphylococcaceae
Description: bacterial SSU rRNA
Rfam family: Bacterial small subunit ribosomal RNA
Source: RNAcentral
GCGGCGUGCCUAAUACAUGCAAGUCGAGCGAACAGACAAGGAGCUUGCUCCUUUGACGUUAGCGGCGGACGGGUGAGUAACACGUGGGUAACCUACCUAUAAGACUGGGAUAACUUCGGGAAACCGGAGCUAAUACCGGAUAAUAUUUCGAACCGCAUGGUUCGAUAGUGAAAGAUGGUUUUGCUAUCACUUAUAGAUGGACCCGCGCCGUAUUAGCUAGUUGGUAAGGUAACGGCUUACCAAGGCGACGAUACGUAGCCGACCUGAGAGGGUGAUCGGCCACACUGGAACUGAGACACGGUCCAGACUCCUACGGGAGGCAGCAGUAGGGAAUCUUCCGCAAUGGGCGAAAGCCUGACGGAGCAACGCCGCGUGAGUGAUGAAGGUCUUCGGAUCGUAAAACUCUGUUAUUAGGGAAGAACAUACGUGUAAGUAACUAUGCACGUCUUGACGGUACCUAAUCAGAAAGCCACGGCUAACUACGUGCCAGCAGCCGCGGUAAUACGUAGGUGGCAAGCGUUAUCCGGAAUUAUUGGGCGUAAAGCGCGCGUAGGCGGUUUUUUAAGUCUGAUGUGAAAGCCCACGGCUCAACCGUGGAGGGUCAUUGGAAACUGGAAAACUUGAGUGCAGAAGAGGAAAGUGGAAUUCCAUGUGUAGCGGUGAAAUGCGCAGAGAUAUGGAGGAACACCAGUGGCGAAGGCGACUUUCUGGUCUGUAACUGACGCUGAUGUGCGAAAGCGUGGGGAUCAAACAGGAUUAGAUACCCUGGUAGUCCACGCCGUAAACGAUGAGUGCUAAGUGUUAGGGGGUUUCCGCCCCUUAGUGCUGCAGCUAACGCAUUAAGCACUCCGCCUGGGGAGUACGACCGCAAGGUUGAAACUCAAAGGAAUUGACGGGGACCCGCACAAGCGGUGGAGCAUGUGGUUUAAUUCGAAGCAACGCGAAGAACCUUACCAAAUCUUGACAUCCUUUGACAACUCUAGAGAUAGAGCCUUCCCCUUCGGGGGACAAAGUGACAGGUGGUGCAUGGUUGUCGUCAGCUCGUGUCGUGAGAUGUUGGGUUAAGUCCCGCAACGAGCGCAACCCUUAAGCUUAGUUGCCAUCAUUAAGUUGGGCACUCUAAGUUGACUGCCGGUGACAAACCGGAGGAAGGUGGGGAUGACGUCAAAUCAUCAUGCCCCUUAUGAUUUGGGCUACACACGUGCUACAAUGGACAAUACAAAGGGCAGCGAAACCGCGAGGUCAAGCAAAUCCCAUAAAGUUGUUCUCAGUUCGGAUUGUAGUCUGCAACUCGACUACAUGAAGCUGGAAUCGCUAGUAAUCGUAGAUCAGCAUGCUACGGUGAAUACGUUCCCGGGUCUUGUACACACCGCCCGUCACACCACGAGAGUUUGUAACACCCGAAGCCGGUGGAGUAACCAUUUGGAGCUAGCCGUCGAAGGUG